GUAGCACUUCCUGUCAGAGUUUAGCCGACGUGUGCAUCUCACUACAAAAGAACCAUCACAAUGAGGACCACAUCGCUUUUAUUCUUCUAUCUCCUGGUGUGCUGUCAAACUACCGAGAGUUUAACUCUUAAUCCGGUGAUUUUAGGGACCAGUGUGACUUUAGAUUGUGAGCUUGAUGUAAAAGAGAUUUUUUGGCUUUUCUUGAAACCAGCAGAAUCUCUAGUGGUGAUAUAUCGUACUUACAGUGCAAAAUCUACAAUGUGUCUUUUUCAUGAUGAAAGACUCCAAAACAGAUAUUCGUCACGAACGGAGAGUCGAUUAUUUAUUCGAAUUAUUACAAAAGAGGAAUUGGGAAUAUAUUAUUGUGCAAAAGUAAACACAUCUCUGCAGCUGAGCAAUGGCACCAAACUUUACACUGAAACGAACCGUCAGAAUGAUCAACCACAACAUCAGACUGCGGCGAUCACAUCCAUCUCAAUAAUUGCUUCGUUUCUUAUAACAAUAGUAAUUGUGUUAGGUCUGUUAACUCUGAAAUGUGAGAAACCCAGGAAAAGUCGACAACAGAAUGUCAAAGUGAAGCAGUUUGAUGACCUGAACACAGAAGAGUUUACUGAAGUGGAGUUCCGUCCGUGUGAAUAACAUUCAGUGAGACCGACGGCACUUUUCCCUCAAAACCAACGUCAAAAUGAAAACAUACAGAACACAAACUUAAGAAGAUGACCGCUCAUAUCUGUCCAUCUGUAUAGUCUGACAGUAAAAUAUUUACUACUCUUAAUAUAAAUGUUUUGGCUAACACUUUACGUUAAAGUACCCUUUAUGAAGCAUUUAUAAAUGUGUUCAUUAAUGAUUAAUAAGUAAUUUACAAAUGCAUUAUAAAGCAGUUAUAACGGCAUGAAUAAAAAGGGGGAUUCUAAUGAAAUACAUGCCAAAUAGUGAGCAGGUAUAAGAAAAACAACAUAACACCCUACAGUGUCCAGUCUGACAGCCUAUAUUGCAAACAACAUCAAGAUAAUAAUGAAUCCGCUUUCGAGUCGAAUAAAUAAUAAAUGAACACCUUUAUUAAGCAUUUAUAACAUGUGAGUUAAAAUGGCUGAGGUAUUUCUUUAGAAUCCCUCUUUUAAUUCAUGCAGUUAUAACUGCGUCAUAAUGCAUUUGUAAAGGACUUAUGUGUCAUUAACAAACACAUUUAUAAAUGCUUUAUAAAGGGUACCUUAAUGUAAAGUGUUACCAUGUUUUGAUAUAAUGUUUUUCAACAAUUUUAAUAAAAAAUGUGAAAGUGUUUUAUCUGUAGACUCAACUUUAUCCAAAUGAUCUUUUGAUGAUGGUUCUGAAACAUCUUUGGACAUUCCUGGAUUCCUAUUUAACGUCAUGUAAAACCAAAGCAUGUAUGGCCUGUAAACUUUUAUUUUGUAAUUGAGAUGUCAUUUGUUCUUUGUUUUCUUUUCUGUUUGUGUUUUCAGUUCUGAUUGGUUUAAGUCACAUUUGUUGUCUCUCUGUUGUUUUAACUGUAACGGUUCAUUUAACACGUCGUCUGGUCAGGCUGCAUUUAAUUUAACUUAUAACAGGUGACUUCCUGUUUUAUUUCUUCUUUGUCUCUGUGGUAGCACUUCCUGACAUAGUUUAGCCAACUUAUGCAUCUCACUGCACAGAAUGAGGACCACGCCGCUUUUAUUCUUCUGUAAGUUAAUAUUAAUGUUAGUUCUUGCAGAAGUUGGAUAGUUGAUGAGGUUUAAAGUUGUCUAUCAGAAAUGAUGUUUGUGUUGUUCUCCUUAUACAGAUCUCCUGCUGUGUUGUCAAACUACAGAGAGUUUAACUCUUAAACGGGUGAUUUUAGGUGGAAAUGUGACUUUGGACUGUGAGCUUGAUAACAAAGAGAUUUAUUGGGUUUUCAUGACACCGCCAGAAUCUCUAGUGGUGAUAUUACGUACUUUUACAGCAGACUCUAUAAAACCUGCAUUUUAUGAUCAGAGACUCAAAAGCAAAUAUUCAUCAAAAACUUUAAGUCGUUUAUUUAUUAGUUGUAUAACAAAAGAUGAAUUAGGAAUAUAUUAUUGUGAAAAAGUAGACACAACAGGUCUACAACUCAGCAAUGGAACUAAACUUUAUACCACUGGUAAGUGUUUCUGAAAUGUGAAAUAUAGUAAAAGCUAUUAAUUAUUUUAAGAUAUCAUAUGUCCUACAUAUACACUUUUUAUAAAGAACUUAUUAAACAUUUUUGGUAAAUCGUUGGAUUUUUGUGCAGAAACUAUCCAUCAGAACGUGACAGAGGAGAAUGAUCAACCCCAACACAUGCAGCACAACACAACCACAACACAUUCGGCUCUGACGCUUACAUCCAUCUCACUGAACGUCCUGCUGUUUAUUACAAUAAUAGGUUUGUCUAGAAAAAGUGGAAAACCAUAUCAGAAUGUCAAAGAAAAGCAGUUUGAUGACCUGAAUACAGAAGAGUUCACUGAAGUGGAGUUCUGUCAGUAUGAAUAGCAUUCAUCGAGACCGACGGCGCUUUUAUCUCACAAGCCAAUAACAAAAUGAAGAAAACAAACUUAGGAAGACAAAAGAUGACAUACGGAAACCUACAGAACCAAUAAAAACAUUUACACUCUUAAUCAAAAUGUUUAUAUAUGUUUUUCAACAACUUUAAUAAAAAC
Triplophysa rosa is the source of this 2648-nucleotide long non-coding RNA. RefSeq lists it as uncharacterized. NCBI's taxonomy places the organism in Eukaryota, Metazoa, Chordata, Actinopteri, Cypriniformes, Nemacheilidae. The record is from RefSeq and is a predicted model, not a curated record. The transcript has 7 exons.